GGGGAAUUUUCCGCAAUGGGCGCAAGCCUGACGGAGCAAGACCGCGUGCGGGAAGAAGGCCUGUGGGUUGUAAACCGCUUUUGAUAGGGAAGAAGUUCUGACGGUACCUAUCGAAUCAGCCUCGGCUAACUCCGUGCCAGCAGCCGCGGUAAUACGGAGGAGGCAAGCGUUAUCCGGAAUUAUUGGGCGUAAAGCGUCCGUAGGUGGUUGUUCAAGUCUUCUGUCAAAGCGCGGAGCUUAACUCCGUAAAGGCAGAGGAAACUGAGCGGCUAGAGUGUGAUAGGGGCAGAGGGAAUUCCCAGUGUAGCGGUGAAAUGCGUAGAUAUUGGGAAGAACACCGGUGGCGAAAGCGCUCUGCUGGGUCUGCACUGACACUGAGGGACGAAAGCUAGGGGAGCGAAAGGGAUUAGAUACCCCUGU
This 420-nucleotide ribosomal RNA is filed under the name uncultured Albertania sp. RNAcentral's name for it is "bacterial SSU rRNA". It matches the Rfam family "Bacterial small subunit ribosomal RNA", at positions 356 to 791 of the family's 1533-position model. Lineage: Bacteria; Bacillati; Cyanobacteriota; Cyanophyceae; Oculatellales; Oculatellaceae. The record is from RNAcentral.